Molecule: non-coding RNA, 84 nt
Filed under: marine eukaryotic metagenome
Description: Pyrrolysine insertion sequence mttB
Rfam family: Pyrrolysine insertion sequence mttB
Source: RNAcentral
UGAUUCGAAGCUGCCAGACAACCAGGCAGGUCAUGAGAAAGGAAUGACGGUGACCUUGGCCGCGCAGGCCGGGGCCAACCUCGU